AUCUGGAAAUGGCGUAGACGGAAGACCCACUGCAUGUUAUGAUUUCCAUUGCUCCUGCUUCUGGUAAAGGAACUCAAUGCCACCUGAUCACCAACAAAGUGACCUAUAUAUUAUUGACUAUUAGUUUGAACCUGAUUUAAUGUUCCAGAGUUCUCUGUACUAUAAAUUAGAUAAAGCCACCUCCACUGUUCAUAACUGACAAACAUAAAUAAACACUAUAAUGAUUGUCUCUAUUGUCUUUUUUAGUAUUAUUUGAUACAACAUACCUUUGUUAACUUUAACUGAUGUCAUACUGAAGUUGCAUUAGGCUGUCUAGUUAUUAUAUGUAUUGGAAUUAAUAAGAUUGAACUAUGAGUGAAGGGAUCUGAUUAGAUUAAUUUUCAUUUAGGAUUGUUAUCAAUUUGAAUGCUAAUAUAUGCUAGUAUAUGACAUGUAUCCUUUAGCACUGAUAUAUAUCAUGUUUAGAUCUUAUGCUUGAUACCUUAUGUUUUGUGGCAUUGCCUUCACUCUCUUAAUAGGAACUUUGAUAAGUCGUGUUCCUUUCAUGUUCUAGAGAUUCUAUUUUUCUCAUGUUGGGUUUUUACUAUUGUGACUUCCAUAAAUAAACUAUUAUGCUUAUUGUUUCUAAGUUUUGUUUUGACGCUGCAUGUGUAGAUAUCCCUUUUAAUCUUUUCUUUAAUUAUUGGUUCUGUUUUUCUUUUUCCUAUUGUAAAUGAUGUUCCUCUUUUGACAGAUUAUUUGAAGGAUUUAUGCAAAGUGAGUGUGUGGAAGAGUGAAGCAACANNNNNNNNNNNNNNNNNNNNNNNNNNNNUGUCUAUGACUACUUUAACUUUGUGGAAAAUGUGAGUGUCAAAUUUGUGUGUUUUUGUUUGCUCAUUUCUAUGAAGUCUGAAAUCAAUUUUAGUUUUAGUUUUACCUUGUAAGUGUCAUUUAUCUCUCUCAUUCUCAAGAUAAUGAGCUUUUUUUUUUAUUGGUGCUUCAGAUGCUUAAAAUCUUUGGAAUGAUCCUUGUAUCUGUUUGCAGUGAAGAAACUGAAUGUUAUAGUUUUCAAGGACUAGAGUGAUGCACAAUUUCUUGAACUGAUAUCCAACAUCUAAUAAAUUUAGCAUGCCAGUAUUGCAAAUGUAGAAAACUAUAUAUUGAAUAUUGUCAUGUUCCAAUAUUUAAUUAUCUGUGCUUCUUUCUGGUCAAUAAUUAGUAUCCCAAAACGGGUUUUAUACCACAAGCGCCUAACAUCUAAUUGAUCGAUAUUAGACAAUGAUUUGAUUCUAACCUCCACAUCAUAUCAUUUGGUAAGUAUCCUAUCAUUUGAUUAUAUUAUUUUAAUAAACCUAAACACUUUUUCAA
Molecule: long non-coding RNA, 1347 nt
Filed under: Trifolium pratense (red clover)
Lineage: Eukaryota; Viridiplantae; Streptophyta; Magnoliopsida; Fabales; Fabaceae
Description: long non-coding RNA (TPRA_LNC006210)
Source: RNAcentral